RNAcentral lists this ribosomal RNA (400 nucleotides) under uncultured Archaeospora. RNAcentral's name for it is "SSU rRNA". It matches the Rfam family "Eukaryotic small subunit ribosomal RNA", at positions 569 to 974 of the family's 1831-position model. The record is from RNAcentral. Lineage: Eukaryota; Fungi; Glomeromycota; Glomeromycetes; Archaeosporales; Archaeosporaceae.
AGCAGCCGCGGUAAUUCCAGCUCCAAUAGCGUAUAUUAAAGUUGUUGCAGUUAAAAAGCUCGUAGUUGAAUUUUGGGUCUGGCCGGUUGGUCCGUUCUUGUAACGAGUACUGGUCGGUUGGGCCUCACCGCUUGGGGAAGGGUAAUGCCCUUUAUUGGGUGUUGCUCGGAGCCAAGACCUUUACCUUGAAAAAAUUAGAGUGUUUAAAGCAGGCAUAUGCCAGAAUACAUUAGCAUGGAAUAAUAGAAUAGGACAACGAUUCUAUUUUGUUGGUUUCUAGGACCGUUGUAAUGAUUAAUAGGGAUAGUUGGGGGCAUUAGUAUUCAAUUGUCAGAGGUGAAAUUCUUGGAUUUAUUGAAGACUAACUACUGCGAAAGCAUUUGCCAAGGAUGUUUUCAUU